RNAcentral lists this ribosomal RNA (542 nucleotides) under Dothiorella gregaria. Its description in RNAcentral is "eukaryotic LSU rRNA". The stretch from base 172 to 325 matches the Rfam family "5.8S ribosomal RNA". Lineage: Eukaryota; Fungi; Ascomycota; Dothideomycetes; Botryosphaeriales; Botryosphaeriaceae. The record is from RNAcentral.
UCCGUAGGGUGAACCUGCGGAAGGAUCAUUACCUAGAGUUGUAGGCUUUGCCUGCUAUCUCUUACCCAUGUCUUUUAAGUACCUUACGUUUCCUCGGCGGGUCCGCCCGCCGAUUGGACAAUUUAAACCAUUUGCAGUUGCAAUCAGCGUCUGAAAAAACUUAAUAGUUACAACUUUCAACAACGGAUCUCUUGGUUCUGGCAUCGAUGAAGAACGCAGCGAAAUGCGAUAAGUAGUGUGAAUUGCAGAAUUCAGUGAAUCAUCGAAUCUUUGAACGCACAUUGCGCCCCUUGGUAUUCCAUGGGGCAUGCCUGUUCGAGCGUCAUUUGUACCUUCAAGCUCUGCUUGGUGUUGGGUGUUUGUCUCGCCUCUGCGUGUAGACUCGCCUCAAAACAAUUGGCAGCCGGCGUAUUGAUUUCGGAGCGCAGUACAUCUCGCGCUUUGCACUCAUAACGACGACGUCCAAAAGUACAUUUUUACACUCUUGACCUCGGAUCAGGUAGGGAUACCCGCUGAACUUAAGCAUAUCAAUAAGCGGAGGA